Molecule: long non-coding RNA, 588 nt
Organism: Papaver somniferum (opium poppy)
Lineage: Eukaryota; Viridiplantae; Streptophyta; Magnoliopsida; Ranunculales; Papaveraceae
Exons: 5
Source: RefSeq, a predicted model, not a curated record
UUCUGCUUUCAACGAGUUAGUUUGAGAUUUUUUACUUGAACUACUAAGUUGAAAUGUAUUUUUUCAGGUGCUAGCAGAGUUUUACAUUGCUGAUAAUUUCUACUUCCAGAAUCACCUAGGCCUGCUAUGGUGUUUUGAGAUUUGUCAUGAAAACUGGUACCAAGGGUUUCAAGGUUAUUUUGUAUGGAACUUGCGGAAGCUCGUGCAAAGUAAAUGAAGUUUAAAGAUGGAUACAUGAUUUCUUUUGGUCAGCCUGUUAACUAGUACAUCGACUCAGCCAUUGGACACGUCUUUCUUAGGCAGAUGAAGGAGCCAAAGGAAGAGAAGCCUGUGAUGAUGAGGCGCCUGAGAUAAUGCUACGGGAAGCAAUUGGAUGGCUUAUAUUUCCGCGCUUUCGGGAUACCCAUUCGACACGAUAGAGGACCUAGAGGUGUGAUCGCGACCUAGGUUCAACGGGAUCAGCUAUUACUUCUACUACUACAGCUUUGUCAAGAGGAGGUCAUGGAAGAGCAGCACUUAAUACCAGUUUAGGUGAGCUAAGGUGAUCCAGUUUCUCUUGGAGUAGCUUCAUAGUAUUUUUUUUAAUGU